AGUAAUGAAGUAAGAUAUUACACUUAGUUUCGACCUAAGAAUCAGAGAUUAAACUCCUUACUU
Molecule: transfer RNA, 63 nt
Filed under: Triatoma migrans
Lineage: Eukaryota; Metazoa; Arthropoda; Insecta; Hemiptera; Reduviidae
Description: tRNA-Arg
Source: RNAcentral